Callithrix jacchus (white-tufted-ear marmoset) is the source of this 107-nucleotide small nuclear RNA. Lineage: Eukaryota; Metazoa; Chordata; Mammalia; Primates; Cebidae. The record is from Ensembl.
GUGCUCACUUUGGCAGCACAUCUACGAAAACUGAAAUGAUACAGAGAAGAUUAGCAUGGCCCCUGCACAAGGAUGACACGUAAAAUAAAAAAAUUAAAAAAAAAGAU